GACGAACGCUGGCGGCGUGCCUAAUACAUGCAAGUUGAGCGAUGAAGCUUGGUGCUUGCACCAAUUUGAAGAGCAGCGAACGGGUGAGUAACGCGUGGGGAAUCUGCCUUUGAGCGGGGGACAACAUUUGGAAACGAAUGCUAAUACCGCAUAAUAACUUUAAACAUAAGUUUUAAGUUUGAAAGAUGCAAUUGCAUCACUCAAAGAUGAUCCCGCGUUGUAUUAGCUAGUUGGUGAGGUAAAGGCUCACCAAGGCGAUGAUACAUAGCCGACCUGAGAGGGUGAUCGGCCACAUUGGGACUGAGACACGGCCCAAACUCCUACGGGAGGCAGCAGUAGGGAAUCUUCGGCAAAGGACGAAAGUCUGACCGAGCAACGCCGCGUGAGUGAAGAAGGUUUUCGGAUCGUAAAACUCUGUUGGUAGAGAAGAACGUUGGUGAGAGUGGAAAGCUCAUCAAGUGACGGUAACUACCCAGAAAGGGACGGCUAACUACGU
Molecule: ribosomal RNA, 496 nt
Filed under: uncultured bacterium
Lineage: Bacteria
Description: partial 16S ribosomal RNA
Rfam family: Bacterial small subunit ribosomal RNA
Source: RNAcentral